UUAGAAUUACCUGCGCCUCUUGUAACAAAUCAGUGAACCCUGUCUCCCGUGCCUACCAAAAUGACUUAAGGGCACUGGGCUACUCUACUACUAAACGACUAGUUGGGGCAUUUCACUUUACAGGUUAAGGCUCUUCUGGUCGGGUGCUAAACACAGGGAAAGUCGUUUCAUUAAUUCAAUAAAUGAGUUUCAGUAAGCAGAUAGAGCAGAG
Molecule: long non-coding RNA, 211 nt
Filed under: Musa acuminata (dwarf banana)
Lineage: Eukaryota; Viridiplantae; Streptophyta; Magnoliopsida; Zingiberales; Musaceae
Description: long non-coding RNA (MACU_LNC010659)
Source: RNAcentral